This 437-nucleotide ribosomal RNA is filed under the name Parvimonas sp. oral taxon 393. RNAcentral describes it as "bacterial SSU rRNA". It matches the Rfam family "Bacterial small subunit ribosomal RNA", at positions 28 to 448 of the family's 1533-position model. The record is from RNAcentral. Lineage: Bacteria; Bacillati; Bacillota; Tissierellia; Tissierellales; Peptoniphilaceae.
GACGAACGCUGGCGGCGUGCUUAACACAUGCAAGUCGAACGUGAUUUUUGUGGAAAUUCUUUCGGGAAUGGAAGUAAAAUGAAAGUGGCGAACGGGUGAGUAACACGUGAGCAACCUACCUUACACAGGGGGAUAGCCGUUGGAAACGACGAUUAAUACCGCAUGAGACCACAGAACCGCAUGGUAUAGGGGUCAAAGAUUUAUCGGUGUAAGAUGGGCUCGCGUCUGAUUAGCUAGUUGGAAGGGUAAAGGCCUACCAAGGCGACGAUCAGUAGCCGGUCUGAGAGGAUGAACGGCCACAUUGGAACUGAGACACGGUCCAAACUCCUACGGGAGGCAGCAGUGGGGAAUAUUGCACAAUGGGGGAAACCCUGAUGCAGCGACGCCGCGUGAGCGAAGAAGGUUUUCGAAUCGUAAAGCUCUGUCCUAUGAGAAGA